Molecule: ribosomal RNA, 430 nt
Filed under: bacterium
Lineage: Bacteria
Description: partial 16S ribosomal RNA
Rfam family: Bacterial small subunit ribosomal RNA
Source: RNAcentral
UGGGGAAUAUUGGACAAUGGGCGGAAGCCUGAUCCAGCCAUGCCGCGUGUGUGAAGAAGGCCUUUUGGUUGUAAAGCACUUUAAGCGAGGAGGAGGCUACUUGGAUUAAUACUCUAGGAUAGUGGACGUUACUCGCAGAAUAAGCACCGGCUAACUCUGUGCCAGCAGCCGCGGUAAUACAGAGGGUGCGAGCGUUAAUCGGAUUUACUGGGCGUAAAGCGUGCGUAGGCGGCUUCUUAAGUCGGAUGUGAAAUCCCUGAGCUUAACUUAGGAAUUGCAUUCGAUACUGGGAAGCUAGAGUAUGGGAGAGGAUGGUAGAAUUCCAGGUGUAGCGGUGAAAUGCGUAGAGAUCUGAAGGAAUACCGAUGGCGAAGGCAGCCAUCUGGCCUAAUACUGACGCUGAGGUACGAAAGCAUGGGGAGCAAACAGG